ACCUGGUUGAUCCUGCCAGUAGCAUAUGCUUGUCUCAAAGAUUAAGCCAUGCAUGUCUCAGUACUUGCCGCUCCGACGGCGAAACCGCAAAUGGCUCAUUAAAUCAGUCACGGUUCAUUGGAUCGUGACGCGUUACUUGGAUAACUGUGGCAAUUCUAGAGCUAAUACAUGCAGCCGAGCUCCGACCCUCCGGGGGACGAGCGCUUUUAUUAGAUUGUGACCGGCCCCUCCUCUCGGGGUGGGGAUCGGAAACGUGAACCGAAGCUGAGUAACUUUGGCAGAUCGCACGGGCCCGUCCCGGCGACGCAUCUUUCAAGUGUCUGCCCUAUCAACUGUCGACGGUAGGUCAUGCGCCUACCGUGGUCGCCACGGGUGACGGGGAAUCAGGGUUCGAUUCCGGAGAGGGAGCCUGAGAGACGGCUACCACAUCUAAGGAAGGCAGCAGGCACGCAAAUUACCCACUCCCGGCUCGGGGAGGUAGUGACGAAAAAUAACGAUACGGGACUCAUCGAGACCCCGUGAUCGGAAUGAGUACGCUCUAAACCCCCUAACGAGGACCUACCGGAGGGCAAGACUAAUGCCAGCCGCUGCGGUAAUUUUAGCUCCGGUAGCGUAUACUAAAAUUGUUGCAGUUAAAAAGCUCGUAGUCGGACCUCUGCU
This is a non-coding RNA of Trichonephila clavata, 660 nucleotides long. The record is from the annotation of a GenBank genome assembly. Lineage: Eukaryota; Metazoa; Arthropoda; Arachnida; Araneae; Nephilidae.